Molecule: long non-coding RNA, 803 nt
Filed under: Monodelphis domestica (gray short-tailed opossum)
Lineage: Eukaryota; Metazoa; Chordata; Mammalia; Didelphimorphia; Didelphidae
Description: lncRNA (ENSMODG00000036323.2)
Source: RNAcentral
AGGAACUGGAUAUUCUUUGAUAGUUUGAUGAAUUUCCAACCUCAUCAAUGUAGAGACUCCUUCCAAAAAUGUAUAUUGUAACCCAGCCAUGCCUUCUUAUCCUGUGAUGUUCUGGUCCAUAUCAUCCCCUAACUCUUCUACUCUGGGGCCACUCAAUUAUUUACAGGAAAACUUUGAUUAUCUGGAAAUCAGUCUUCCAGAACCCUCAACCAUCUGGAACUGCUUUGAACCUGAAGUCUGAAGGAAGAGAAGCAGACCCUGUGGAGUAAGCAAAAGUGAAAAUUUUUGUUGAAGACCCAAAGAUUUUAUUCAAUAGUUUGUGAUUAGUCAAUGUGGUGAUCAGAAGUAAAGAAGUGCCAUGAGUGACUAGUAAGAGGCCAGACUUCAAGAAAUCAACCACACCGAGAAGUGUGAGAGGAGUGAUAGAUCAAAGAAAUAUGGCAGCAUAUAAAAUGCAUUCUCACAGUGACCAUGUCCAAAAAAUGGCCCAUCAUUGUGCACAUUUAGUCCCUCAUCUCUUUAUCAGGAGGCUGCUACUCUCCUGUGCCUAUGAAGCAACUGAAGCAACAGACUAUAUGUGGAAUUUGUGCUUGGAUUCUGAGUCAACAUGAAGCAUAUCUAGAAUGCCACUGCUUAUCUUGAAAGGAAGGAAACAGUCAUUUUGUUCCAGACAUAUUCAAAUACAAACAGUUGAAAGAAUGAUAAUUUUUUUUAAAAAGCCUUCAUUGUGCCAGUUUGAAUCAUUUGAUACUUUUAUUUGGUUGAAACUCUAUCUCUUUGAAAAUGUCCUCAUCUCUGCUUAG